Molecule: long non-coding RNA, 588 nt
Organism: Hemibagrus wyckioides
Lineage: Eukaryota; Metazoa; Chordata; Actinopteri; Siluriformes; Bagridae
Exons: 3
Source: RefSeq, a predicted model, not a curated record
CCUGCACUCUUUGAUGCGCGCUCCUCCACACUGCUCUCUUUCAUGGUGUGUUUGCGCAGCCUGCAAAAUAAAUAUCCCUCCCUCAAAGCUCCAACAAGAAUCGGCAAAACCCCUUUAAGCGAUCCCAAAUCAUCUGGAUGCGCUAAAGCUUUUUGGUGACGACGCUAAUGAGCGAAACGAGCGUUCGAGAGUCGAGACUCAAAGCGAGAGGUCGAGGAGUAUCCGCCACGGCCGACCGCGCCUGUAAAAAGGCUCGGGACCGGCACUGCGUCCAGUGGCUGGGGUUUGGGCACUUGCUGAGAAUCGAACCCGGGCCUUCCAAAUAGUAGAAAGUUGGCGAAGUUGGCGCGGCUGCAGCGGGCAGCAGAUGGCAGCGUGGAGGGAAGUGGAGAAAGACGGACAGAAGCGAAGGGACAGAAGUGGACGAGUUUGUCUCAGAACACUCGCUGGCUUUAAAACAACACUUCAUGUUUGCUUCAUUACACUAAAAAUGUUAAGUGGAUUUUCUGAGCUCCUCUUUCAGAUUUUGAACUCACCCGUGUGUAGCUCAUCGCUCUCUGAGGUUGCCAGAUUUCAGUCGAAGUGUAA